AGAGUUUGAUCCUGGCUCAGGAUGAACGCUAGCUACAGGCUUAACACAUGCAAGUCGAGGGGCAGCGGGAUUGAAGCUUGCUUCAAUUGCCGGCGACCGGCGCACGGGUGAGUAACGCGUAUCCAACCUUCCGUACACUCAGGGAUAGCCUUUCGAAAGAAAGAUUAAUACCUGAUGGUAUGAUGAGAUUGCAUGAUAGCAUCAUUAAAGAUUUAUCGGUGUACGAUGGGGAUGCGUUCCAUUAGGCAGUAGGCGGGGUAACGGCCCACCUAGCCAACGAUGGAUAGGGGUUCUGAGAGGAAGGUCCCCCACAUUGGAACUGAGACACGGUCCAAACUCCUACGGGAGGCAGCAGUGAGGAAUAUUGGUCAAUGGACGAGAGUCUGAACCAGCCAAGUAGCGUGAAGGAUGAAGGUCCUACGGAUUGUAAACUUCUUUUAUAAGGGAAUAAACCCUCCCACGUGUGGGAGCUUGUAUGUACCUUAUGAAUAAGCAUCGGCUAACUCCGUGCCAGCAGCCGCGGUAAUACGGAGGAUGCGAGCGUUAUCCGGAUUUAUUGGGUUUAAAGGGAGCGCAGACGGGUCGUUAAGUCAGCUGUGAAAGUUUGGGGCUCAACCUCAAAAUUGCAGUUGAUACUGGCGUCCUUGAGUGCGGUUGAGGUGUGCGGAAUUCGUGGUGUAGCGGUGAAAUGCUUAGAUAUCACGAAGAACUCCGAUUGCGAAGGCAGCACACUAAGCCGUAACUGACGUUCAUGCUCGAAAGUGUGGGUAUCAAACAGGAUUAGAUACCCUGGUAGUCCACACAGUAAACGAUGGAUACUCGCUGUUGGCGAUAUACUGUCAGCGGCUUAGCGAAAGCGUUAAGUAUCCCACCUGGGGAGUACGCCGGCA
This 890-nucleotide ribosomal RNA is filed under the name human gut metagenome. RNAcentral describes it as "bacterial SSU rRNA". It matches the Rfam family "Bacterial small subunit ribosomal RNA", at positions 8 to 890 of the family's 1533-position model. The record is from RNAcentral.